This 854-nucleotide long non-coding RNA is filed under the name Mustela putorius furo (domestic ferret). Its description in RNAcentral is "lncRNA (ENSMPUG00000024516.1)". Lineage: Eukaryota; Metazoa; Chordata; Mammalia; Carnivora; Mustelidae. The record is from RNAcentral.
GUCACGUUCUUCUCUAAUAUCUGAGUUUAUGUGUCUUUUAUGUUGACAAGACCAGAAACUCACUGAAAGCAAAAAUUCUUGUUUCCACGUCUAUGUUCAGUCCACAGCAGCAUUUGUCCAGAAAUCCAGGACGCUUCGAGAAGGUGAAGCAGCUCAUCCAUCGGAAACUUGGUCCCCCAUUUGGAAUUUGCUUUCCGUGUUUGGAGGAAACAAUAUGGUGCCUGAGCAACCGUGCAACAUAGCAUUAUCGUCCCCAGAUUCCUCAAGAGGAAAUGGAGUCUCAGAAAACUGACGUGACUCGACCAACAUCCCUUAACUAGGAUUUGUACUGAGUUCUGUACGGGCUUCAGUAAUUAUGUUCCUUCUACUUUCUUGCACUGCCUUUAGCCCUGCCAUUUAUCUCUAGAAUCUGGGAAUAAAAGACAGGUGCCAGCUAGGCUAUAUACUGCAUAUAGGGUAAAAUAAACUGAAGGUUCCCCAGGCCAGCGAGGGGAGGGGUGAGAAGGUGGCCAAAAAAAGUGUGGCAGAGAAAGGGCCAAGGGGAGAUAAGAAAUGUCAAAAAAUACCAAAACCAACUUCAGAGUAGCUGUCUAUGGAUAGGCAUGUAAACUCCCCUCACUGUCACCUCUGUGGACUCCAGUAAAUUCUGCUUCGCUCUUGACAUUUGUGUUCCGUGUUUACUUGGUGGUGGAGCAGGGGUUCAGGUCUAAGAGGAGAAGGAAGAGAUGAUAGGCAUUUGUAUUACACUUGGUUUUAGAAGAGUGACUGAUCUAAGAUAAAUAAAUAAAUGAAAGAGUAGAUGAGAUAGGGAGUCGAGGUGGGCUGGUCCAGAAUGAGGAAGGAGGGCAUGUGAG